RNAcentral lists this ribosomal RNA (422 nucleotides) under uncultured bacterium. RNAcentral's name for it is "bacterial SSU rRNA". It matches the Rfam family "Bacterial small subunit ribosomal RNA", at positions 355 to 774 of the family's 1533-position model. The record is from RNAcentral.
UGAGGAAUAUUGGUCAAUGGGCGCAAGCCUGAACCAGCCAUGCCGCGUGCAGGAUGAAGCAUCUAUGGUGUGUAAACUGCUUUUGUACGGGAAGAAACCACCCCUCGUGAGGGGUAUUGACGGUACCGUAAGAAUAAGGAUCGGCUAACUCCGUGCCAGCAGCCGCGGUAAUACGGAGGAUCCAAGCGUUAUCCGGAAUCAUUGGGUUUAAAGGGUCCGUAGGCGGGUCUGUAAGUCAGUGGUGAAAUCUCCCCGCUCAACGGGGAAACUGCCAUUGAUACUGCAGGUCUUGAAUUAUUGGGAAGUAACUAGAAUAUGUAGUGUAGCGGUGAAAUGCUUAGAGAUUACAUGGAAUACCGAUUGCGAAGGCAAUCCCCUGGACCUGUACUGACGCUCAUGCACGAAAGCGUGGGGAGCAAACA